Molecule: non-coding RNA, 3146 nt
Organism: Sus scrofa (pig)
Lineage: Eukaryota; Metazoa; Chordata; Mammalia; Artiodactyla; Suidae
Source: RefSeq, a predicted model, not a curated record
CGAAGGAUGCACCGGGAGAUGGAUGAAUGACGGCCAAGAAGGCUCCUGCUGGCUCUGAAUGACCACUACCCCUUUCCAGGAUUUACCGCCGCGGACAGCCGCCGGCUCGCGGACAGCCAUUUGCACCACGCUCCGCCCCACAGGUUGCCAUGGAGAGCAGAUGACACAGGAAGGCCUAGUCUUUCAGAGGCCACCACAAGAGGGAAUGACAUGUUACAGAUAUCUUGGGAGUGUAACAUGCUACCACCAGCUGGGGAUCAUCCUGAAGAUGUGGCCAAGUCUCCUAGUGGCAGAAAUGCUAACCCCUCACCAUUGUCCACACCAUACCAACAGACAGUGAGCUAAGAGAGUCUUUUAACAUGAAGAAACCCAGUUUUCUUUCCUCCUCCUGCCCUGGAGAGAGAAGUCACCAGGAAGAGUUCUUUAAGGUGUAAUUCAAUGGGACAUAUUCAGGAACUGUAAGAAUCCCCGCAUUGGCUCCCUGGUCUACUGAUUGAGAACUAUUAUAAACAGGAAAUUCAAGUAGAAGACUUUGGAAUGUUCCUCCCCUACCAGGAUUUAAACCAAAAGCAUACCUGGAGGAAUUUCAGAGUCAGCGCCACCACCAAAGAUUUUAAGGAUACAAGGAUGUAGAUUCUGUUGCAUGUCCGUUUGCCUUCACUGUUUGACUUGCACAGGAGGUUGAAAGUUGGAAAAUGAGAGUUGAUUAUCCUUAAUCAGGUGAGGAUGCCAAUUGCAGUUACUUUUACAAAUGUAAUGUCUUUCCUGGAGCAAAUCUUUGUACACAGCUAUUGAUGUAGCUGAUGAUAUUUUCUCUGUAUCAGUUUGCAGGGUCUCCUGAAGCAGUUUUGCUUUCACUUAGCAGAGAUAAUUAUACAUCUUCACUUGCCUUGGGGACAUGCCCAUGCUCCUGCACUUUACCAUGACCUAAUCAGCAGAAAUCUCGGUUGUCUUGCAUCUGACAGAAAAUCAAGUUAGUCUACUACAUUGAUGAUAUAAUGAUGACUGGCUCCAAUGAGUAGGAAGUAGCAGGAAUCUUAGACAUCUUAUUAAGAUAUGUGUGUGCUGAAGGUGGGAGAUAACAGCCACACAAUUUCAGGGGUUUACCCCAAAGACGUUUUUGGAGGUCCAUGAGUCUAAAGCAUGAUGAGAUAUCUCUUCUAAAGGAAUUGACACACUACUCUAUCUUGCACUACCUACCAUUAAAAAAAGAGGCAAAAUGCUUGAUUUGCCUCUUGGAGGAAAUAUAUGCUGCAUCUGAGUGUGUUCCAGCUUGUUUACAGAAUAUCCUGUCACUUUUGAGGGGGCUUCCAACAAGAAAGUUUCUGCAGUAAGCCUAAGUUGCAGUGCAAGCUGCUUUGCCACUUGGUCCUAUGACGCAGAUGUAGUAGAAAGACCUAUGGCACAAUGUAAAUGGGGUCUCUGGAAAACCCUUAAAGGGACAGAUCUCUACAAUUUAGGAGCAACAUCAUGCUUCAUUCUCUGGUUGAGAACCAGCUCCUACUGGGUUCUGGUAGAGCUAGGAUGUUUAACCACGGGACAUCAAGUGGCUAUGUAGCCUGAGUUCCUCAUCAUAAACUAGGAAUUUUCUGGCUCAUUAAGCCAUAAAGCUGAGCAUGUGCAGCAGCAAUUUAUAAUUACAUAGAAACUGUAUAAUAGAGAUCUAGAUUCAUGCAUAAGUUAAUUACAUAACUAGUUGUCUCAGGCUCAUAUAAUGCUUAAUCCGGGUUCACUGAUUCUUCUCCCCCUGUUUAAUACCUAUACUUUAUUGGUGAAUUCCUUAUUACCAAUCAGCUGAGGAAGAAAAACUCAAAUCUAAUGAUUCUUCACAAGAUACUGGCACCAACAGGAAGCGUUGCAACCUUAGUUAAAAGUAUUCCUGAAAGAUAUUACUGAAGAAAAAUCUCCUCACUUAGCGGAGCUUCAAGUGGUCCAUUUCACUGACAAUUCUUUCAAUGUGAAAUACCUAGAGGUGAGAAUCUACAUUAAGUUUUGGCAGAGGUUAAUGAGUUGGCCACUUGGUCAGGGACUUGGAAAGAACAAGAUUAGAGUGAAAGGGAGAUCUAGGGAAGAGAUAUGAACCUCUUUGAAAGGGCACGGUGUGUAAGGGCACAUUUGUGUCCCAUGUCAGUGUUCACCAAAGGGCAUCUACAAUAAAGUAAUUAAAUAGAUAUGAUCUGAAGAAGUCAGCCAGCCUCUUUUUCCAGCGAACCUGGUGCUCGCUGCUUGCUCCGUAUUCAAAGCGGCCAUGAUGGCAGCAGUGGGCUCAACAUAUAGACUUCCUUCUUACCAAGAAUGAUGCAGCUGAUUGUCUAACCUACCAACAGCCUAGACCAACAAUAUGACCAUAAUAUGAAGUGGCUAGGAAUUUGUUCUCAUUGGAAUAUUCACUUAAGGAUAUGGAUUUACCUUUUCUGUUUACAAUGCUUCUGACAGUACCCCCUCCCUGGACUUAGGAAUUCUUUACUCACCACAAGAGUAUUCCACACAUCAUUUCUGACCAAACAGCUCACUUCACAGAAAAGAUGUAUAACAAUGGGCUCCUGCUCAUGUGAUUCACUGGUUGUACCAUGAACCCCAACACUCAGACACAGUGGGCCUGAGAGAAGAGUGGAAUGGCCUAAUGAAAACAGUUACAGUAUAAGUUGGAAGACGAUGCUUUGAAAGGUUGGAGUAUACCUUACAAAAUGUGGUUUUUUCCCUUCUUGAACCAGUGAUCACUAUAUAUACUAUUUUUUCCCACAGCCAGAUUACUCAGGCUUGGGAAUCAAGGGGUAGAAGUGGGAGCAUUCCUAGUAACACAAUCACAAAAUUUUUGCCUCCAAAUUUGAUAGGUUUCUGUCGGCAUAGAAGUCUUAGUUUCCAAGGGAAAAAUGUUUCCGCUGAAGAAUAUAAUUGACUUACAUCCUUGAGUUAUAAGUUGAGACUACCAUUGGCCAUUUUGGACUAACGCCACUCAAUUAACAGGUAAAGAAGGGGGUUAUUUUAUUGGCUGGGGUGAUCCCAAUUAUAUUAAGCAUUUGAGCUGCUAAGACAUGGAAGAGUUCUUGUUGUGUCUCAGUGGAAAUAAACCCGACUAGUAUCCAUGAGGACAUGGGUUUGAUCCCUGGCCCCUCUCAGUGGGUUAAGGAUCCAGUGUUGCUGUG